UACGAAGGGGGCUAGCGUUGUUCGGAUUUACUGGGCGUAAAGCGCACGUAGGUGGCUCGAUCAGUCAGGGGUGAAAUCCCAGAGCUCAACUCUGGAACUGCCUUUGAUACUGUCGAUCUGGAGUAUGGAAGAGGUGAGUGGAAUUCCGAGUGUAGAGGUGAAAUUCGUAGAUAUUCGGAGGAACACCAGUGGCGAAGGCGGCUCACUGGUCCAUUACUGACGCUGAGGUGCGAAAGCGUGGGGAGCAAACAGG
Molecule: ribosomal RNA, 253 nt
Filed under: uncultured bacterium
Lineage: Bacteria
Description: partial 16S ribosomal RNA
Rfam family: Bacterial small subunit ribosomal RNA
Source: RNAcentral